This is a long non-coding RNA of Ostrea edulis (European flat oyster), 1775 nucleotides long. RefSeq lists it as uncharacterized. NCBI's taxonomy places the organism in Eukaryota, Metazoa, Mollusca, Bivalvia, Ostreida, Ostreidae. The transcript is spliced from 2 exons. The record is from RefSeq and is a predicted model, not a curated record.
AAGAGCUGAGAUCUACAUGAAAUCUUACUGACAUAGUGCAAAUUCAAGUUUGUAAAAAGCAUGGCAUCCAAGGGUAGGUUGGGGCACAAUACGGACUAAGGUUUUACAUGCAAAUAUAUAUGGAAAGCCUUCAGAUAUGGGCCAAGGUAACUCAGGUGAGCGAUGUGGCCCAUUGGUCUCUUGUUAAAAAAUUCUACCACCUUUUUACCCCAUAAGUUCGCCUUGUGUAAUUUUUAUAUCACUAGUAUAUUCCCUUUUGUAAAAAAAAAUCCUGAAAGUGAAAACAUAAAAAAAUUAAGUCCAUCUAGUCAAAAACCGACACCGGCAAUUUUUAAAAAAAAAAUCAAUUUUUAAAACAUAAAUUCCUACUAAACAUACUGAUGCAAGGUGAAGAUAACGAACUGUGAUCAAUCUCAUAACUCCUAUAAGCAAUACAAAUUAGAUAGUUGGGCAAACACGGACCCCUGGACACACCAUAGGUGGGAUCAGGUGCCUAGGAGGAGUAAGCAUCCCCUGUUGAUAUGCAACAUGACUUUGUUCGCUACAUGUCAAAAUUUCGCAAAUCUUACCUUAAAGGAACUUGUUCAUGAUUUUUAAUAAGUAUUUUUUAUUUUUUAUGUCAAAUAUUGAAAACAUAACUCAUUUUAAUGUUAAAGUAGGAGGAUACUGUGCUAUACCGGAAGCUGGAUUUUAUCGUUAGGGGUUUCAACUUUUACAUUGUGAAAGAUAGAACCAGUUGAAAUAUGGAAAUGCGUGGUAUCAGACACAAAGGGAAAUUUGUUAAAAAUUCACACCAUAAGUAGAUAAAUGCAUUAAGAAAAGGGCGAUUGGUGGCUACAGAGCACCACUGUGUCGACGUAGAGUUGAUCCCGAAUGUUUUUGCCCCUGCUUCAACUUGUGACCUAGACCAUUUGUAUACGGUAAGUCAAGUAAUUUUUUUUUUUAGCGGAAGCACAUCCCGUUUUUGCAAGUAUAACAGUAACUGGAAAAUAUACUUCUCUUCCUGAAACCAUAACGCAUGGAAUAAUGAAAAUAUACCCAUUUAACACGUAGUAUCACGUGUGAAUUGUAUCAUUGUUUUUCUUUUCUUUUUGAACGAGUGAUAUUUUGAUAUUUGUAUUGAUAGUAUUCAUUAUAUUUAGUUUAUUUACAUUUAUUGAUCUCUAUGCGUUAACUGACUAUAUAAAUUCAUAAUUGUCUGUGGUUUUAAAAAAUGCAUUUGUCUUAUUUUAGGGAAAGGGUUCCCAAGGUACUGGUCCAUCAGAUGGAGUCACUAGCUGUGAUAUUGGGACACAAGAAGUACCUGCAGAGGCAAGUUGGCAAGAAGGCAGGCGGACUGUGGAGUUAAAUAUAUUGGCAGACAAUAUACGAGCCUGUAUUAAUUGCACACAGCCUCUUCAUUUAUCUUACUGCGUUGGUGAGAGCGCAAAUUCUCAAAGUAAAGUACAGAUAUGAACACUGUGGUGUAGUGAAUGAUGUGUCAACUGGAUCUAAACAUAAUAUUGAAAUAGGAGGAAAGGUCAAAAUGAACAACAGGUAUGAUAAAUGGAGGUUUUGGUGAAUCCCAUGUCAACUCCUAUAUGGCUGUACUAAAUAUUCCGGGUAUAUCAAAGAGAGGUUUUAAGGAAAGGGAAAAAGAGAUAGGGACACACUUGAAAAAAUGGCAGAACAUUCCUGUAAAAGAACCUUCAAGAUGAGUCACAAGGUAAAUGCAUGCAUAUUUUCACUUUUAUUCAAAUUUAAUCAUAUACUCACAUGUAAAAAAAAAAAAACAA